Molecule: long non-coding RNA, 138 nt
Organism: Octopus sinensis (East Asian common octopus)
Lineage: Eukaryota; Metazoa; Mollusca; Cephalopoda; Octopoda; Octopodidae
Exons: 3
Source: RefSeq, a predicted model, not a curated record
UACAUUUGAUAGAAAAGAAAACAACAAAAGAAUGAACGAGACCUCGAUAUUACGUAAAUAGAGGAAUUUAUCUGUAAUAUAAUAUGUGACAAUUAUUUGGUUGCCAUAAGACUGAGUUUCAGAUGUUGAGGCAGAAAC